UGCUGCACUCCACCUCAGCUCAUUUAGCCAGCAUUCUUACUUCCAGUCCUAUAGGUGGUUAAUCAUUCAACAAAAUUUCAGUCAUUUGUUCCCUGACAAGAAGCCUGCCUUGCGGUCAGAUGAUCUCCUGUGAAAUCAUGGCAAUGCAACCAUUAACAUCAUUAUAAACUCAGUAAUGGAAUAACUGCCUAUUUAUAAUCACUUGCUUCCUACUCGAUGCUGAAGAAGUCUCCUGGUGAGAUAGUUGUGAUAUCAAAAUUCACAACUUGGAUGCAGUCCCACAUUUGAUAGCUCAACUCAUCAAUCUCUUGAUAAAAAAUGAGCAGAGGGAGCUAUGCCAAUCAGGGUGCAGUUUGGAAAGGCAAUUUCAAGAAAGCCCUCAAAUGGAUGGGUGACAAAAACAAAACCCGGAAUUCCCUUCAUAAUAUAAUAGACAUGUAUUUUUAUUUUUUAUUUUUAUUUUUUUGUGGUUGGGGUUGGGGUUGGGGUUGGAGUUGGGGUGGGGAUGGGGGGCGCAGGGGAGUAGUGUGGGGUGUGGGUGGAUGUUGUAUUCAUAUUGCUGAUUAUCUUCACUGGCAUUUUAAAAAUUUGAUCUCAAAAGGUUGUUUCUUUAUACACCUGGGCAGAUGUAUUUAGAAAUGACUGCAAACUCCCGGGGCAGAUGCAAUAAUAUAUACCUCAUGUUAAGCAACGUACAUUCUUCGCAAUAUUAGGCAGUAUUGCCUUCUACCAAAGUAUUUCCAUACAUAACUCAGCUGUUAGUUAAUUCAUAGUGGAAUUCAUGAAUCAGACAUCCUUGCCCCAGCCAUGGCCAGCAUUUUGCUGUCACACUUGGCAUCAUUAAACCAAUAUACGAACAGCUUCUAUGAGGCAGUGUAAUUCUCAAACUAAUGCCAUAUACACCAUUAAACAAGAUAAUUGUGUAGUUCACUGUUUACCAUACCAAACUCACAAAAUAUAUGUUCAACUCUAAGUAUCCCAUUUACCUCUCCUGUGAUGCGGUUAGUCUGCCAACAAACCAGGUUAAUCAGUCUACUUUCCUCUAGCUUUCUCUAGAUCAGGCAGAUCUGCAAUCAAACAAACAGGUUUCAGAAACUGCAGGUUGUAGCAUGAUCCUAAAUGUCCUUUCAAAUGCAAUUGCUUGUGCACAACCGUGAAGCCAUGGAUGGAUUAUGUAGCCUAUGCAAACAAGGUAUACCAUGCAAACCUAAACCAAAUGCCAGCAAAUCAGUACUGACAACUGGAGGCUGCACAAAAGAUAGUUAAAGUUGCACAUUCCAAGUAACUUUUCACCUUAAUGGCACCAAAGCUAUGGAAAUCCUCAGCAGAAAAAACAGCAUACCCCAAAGGGCCACCUAACAAUGAAAAGAAAGGCAUUGACUAGAAAUGUUCUUACAGAGUAAUCCAUCAUCACUGCUUUCAUCAUCUCUGCCAUUUACCUGAACAAGUUAGGGAGAGAUAAAGAGUCACACAUUAUCAUGAGAAAAAAAUAAAAGAAAAAAAAAGGAAAAAGGAUGGAGUAACCAUACCCCAUUGUCGUCGUCAUCAGAAGGAAGCCAGUCGGCUGUAAAAGUAUGAUAGUCAGACAUGAUAUGAAACUGAAGAGGAAAAAAGAGAACAUACAGGAACACAGGAUCAAAAGAGUAGAAGCUAAUGGAUUCUGAGCAACAUUUUGGCAUAUUGCCCAUCGAUUCAUAAAUCAAUUAUCCAACCCAAGAUACAUAAACAGCAAGUAACCACUGCAUCCAGAGAGAACACAAAGCUCCUACCACCGCAAAGUCUAGGGAGGGUCCGAUAUAUGCAGCCUUCCCCUCACAUGUGAAGAGGCUGUUUCCAGGUUCGAAACCACUAACAUAAAGGUCAUAAUAGAGCAACCUUACCACUGUACCUAGGCCUGCCAUCUAGAGAACAUGAACAUGUUGUAGACUUAACAUCUAGCUAAGCCAGUCAUAGACAAAGCAUGUCUAGUAAACUUUCAACAAGGAUUGUUAAUGCUGGCAUUGGAUGAAAAUUUCCUCUAAUCACCACCAAAUAGCAAAAAUCUAAAGAGAACCUCUUCAAAUAUGGCAAAUGAAGAAAACUGCUGAACUCCAAUUGAUCCUUUCAGUAAGAAUCUUGGACAUCAAAAAGAGGUGAAGAUAAGUUAGCAACAAUGUUUUAGGAGACAAAGUAUGCUCCACAAGAGAGGGUAAAAGACCUGUGGGUAACUCGAGUGAAGUGGUUAAGGUUUGCUUGGACAAAUAAAUCGUUUGCAGAAAUGCCUGAUAUACAAAGCACCUUUAAAUCAGAGACGAAGGUGAAAAAUCAAUGAUAGCAGAAAGAUGAUGGUGAAAUAACAGGAUUUGGGCAGCAGACAUGUAAAAUUCAUAUCAUAUAUCUAAAGUAAGAAGUUUGUACAUAUAACAGUCAUUUUUAACAAGGACUUUUUUCUGCAAUUGGAAGGGCUUAAGACUUUUCGAAAGAAACAAAUCAGACACCAUAAAGCUUCACAAUCCUUAGGAUUUCUCCAGAGCAGGGGAAAAAUGGACAGAGCAACAUUCAUUUACAAGCUACAAAGCUUGCUGGAGCUGACAUUAGAGAGUCCACGGAAACAACCAUAACAUUCUUUCAUCAUUAUAGAUGCAUGCCUGUGUGUAUAUGUAGCUAGACGACUCUCGGUCGAAAGAGGGUACGUCCUCACAAUUCUCUUAUGAGUACAAGACCAAGCUAGUCAAUCAAAUUCCAUCUGUUUUCUUUAGAAUAAAUUCCAUUGGCUUUCCUUUUUAGGAAAAGAACUAAAGCAGCUCUAGUUGAUUGACCUAUUCCCUCUACCUUGCCAUAGACCAACACGACCCUGAACUUGUCUCACAUCAACUGAGACCACCUAUGACACACCUGACCCAGAACUACCUCCCCCUCCUCCCCUAUGUCUGAUCAAACUUCUAAGUGAAUGGAAAUGCUAGAGUACAAUGGAUGAGAGGCAAGCGGUGGUAGGAUGUUGCAACAGGGAAGGAAGCAAAAGACAAAGGACUGGGUUUAUCUGAUUGGGUUGGCAACUCUAAUUCAAGAUCCAAUGGGACAACAGAUUCGGUUGGAUUAGUUCAGAUACAAGUUCAUCACACACUUUUGAGGCUAGGCCAGGUUUGGGUUAGGAUUGGAGAAAAUUUCAAGUUAAAGAAUCAUCUACAUAUCAAUAAUCAUUAAUUAGAUUUUGCCAUAAUCCUCAUGUAGGUAUAAACACAUAUUUGUUAUAACUAGCUAUCUUAGACAAAUCAGUUAGGCUGCAGUUGGUAGAAGGGAUAAGUUGUGGAAGGAUAUCCCUUGUGUUAUAGAAUGGUCAGGCUAUUCCGUGGGAUAAGUCCAUUUUUGGCACUUGGAGGGAUAAGUAGAGGGAAAUAAAUGAGUGCAUCAAUUUUUGAAAUGAUGUGGAUUUUAUCAUGGAUUUUAUCACAAUGAUCACAUUGCCCUUUCACUUUUUGGAGCAAUCAAAGAGUAGAUGAGGACAAAAUAAUUACCAGAGGGGAUAAGUUUCCCAUAUUCCUCAAAAGGAAACUCCAUUCCACCAUUAUCCAUUCUCUCUCUUACUUACUACACUAAUCCAUAUUAGCCAAUUCCAGGGUGCUUUUGGGGUGUUUGGUAUGAUAUUCACCCCAAUGGGGGAUAUCACCGCACUUAUCCCUUCCACAAAAUGAUGCAACCUUAGAGUAUUUUUUGCAUAAUCAAUAUCUUGGCUUAAUAUCACUCAGAAAUAUACAUGUAAGUAGGCUUGAAUUGAGGGGAUAUCUAACCAUCUUGGUCCAUAUAUAUUACUAGGGGUUGGGUUGGGUCAUCUUAGGUCAAGAAAUUGGAGUAUCCAAGCUUGAUCCUAGAUUCAAAUGAAGUCUAGAUAUGGGCCCAACCUAUACUCACCUAGGUUCUCACCCAAAAGGGCUAGUCAUAAGGUUAUCAAUAGGGUCUUAGGCCUUGCUUAAGUACCCAAUGCCUCCCAACAAACACUUGAUGUAGGAUCAAACUCACACAGAUCCACACACUCUCUCCUUUUAAAACCCUAGCAUCCCACCAAGGGAAGGGUCCAAUCACAAACAUUACGACUAGUUUGUGGUCAAUCAAUCCAAAAAAGGCUUGUGCCACAGUGUCCCCUAGCUAUAUAUGAUGCUAGCUAUGGAGACUUCAAUACCAUUUGGAAUUUGGGAGCUCACCCAAAAGGGCUACUAAUAAGGUUAUUAUUUGGGGUCCUUGGACCUACUACCCAAGACCAUGCCAACAUAUACCUUGAUAUGAGUCCUCACAAAACGCAACCUUAGGGUGGAUCGACUAUCCCACCAUAUCAAGGAGACUCAAUCCAUUGGCAAUCCCACUGGUAAGAGACAGUAGGCAAGGAGGAAGUGGGACAAGGUAGGUUGAAGGUGAAAGGAGGGGCGAAUUAGUAAUGCAGGACAGCCCUAGAAAAUAAUAUGCUAAAAGAUAAUAAGCAAAUCAAUGAAACUCCAAGCAAUCAUAAUGAGGGGGAAAAACCUCAAUAAAAGCACCAUAUAAGCAAUCUAAAGACUAGUAACAUGUGUGUAAUUAGGGUUUAACUAAUAUUCAUUCAUAUGUUGUAACCAGGGUUCACCUUGUAGAAAAUAGAUAUGAUCUUGUAUUGAAAAAAAAAUCUUAUUAUCAAAUUUAAUGUUUAUUGUGACUGCUAGGAGGUUAUAGGACGAAUUAUAUAUCCUAAAUGUACUUUCAUCAAUAGGUUGUAGUGAUGUGUACGUGACUGAUAGCAUGGUGACUAGGAAACAGGACAAUCUAGUUAAUUCCAUUUAUCUAUGGCAUGCUAGGCUACAUUAUGUUAGUCAUGAGAGGAUCCAGUGGUUGGUUAAUGAUCAAUCAUUGAGUUUUUUAAAUGCUCAACCCUAUCUAACAUGUAGAUCAUAUCUUCCAGGCAACAUGACUAGCCUGCCCUAUCCAAAUAAGAAGAGCAUGUCAAAGAACCAUUGGAGUUUGUUCACUCUGAUUUAUGUAGACCACUAAGUGUGGCAGCCAGAGGUGGAUGAGUACUCCAUCACCUUUAUUGAUGAUUACUCAAGGUAGAGUAUGAUCUAAUUGAUGCACCAUGAGUCUGAAUCCUUUGAAAGGUUCAAAGAGUAUUUAGUGGAAGAGAGCCCUUGUAGGCAAAUCAAAACUCCACAUUCAGAUCGAGGAGGAAAAUAUCUCCAAUGAGCUUCUUAGCUAUAUGAGAGUUAGUAUGAUUGUCUCUCAUUAGACUGUGUCCUCAGCAAACUUAGAAAGCUAAGAGCCAAAAUUGAACCUCAAUGGAUGAGUCAUGUAAGGUUGCCUAUGUUUCUUUAGGGAUAUGCACUUCAAAGUGCAGUGCAUAAACUAAACUACAUUCUAACUAAAUUAGUAAGGCUUACUCCAUAUGAGAUGUGAAAAGGAAAGCGUAUUUUGAUUCACUUAGGAGACUGGGGUUGCCCACAUAAUCCCCACAAGUUGGAAGCCAAGAUGAUUAUGUUACUUGAUAGGAUAUCCCGAAGAGAUGACGGGAUUUACUUCUACAAUAAAGAGGACUAAAAAAAUCUUUGUGAGUAGAAAUGCUGCAUUCCUAGAAGAGGAUAUAAUCUUUUUUUGACUCAAGGUCCUGGGAUGUAGACUUGGAAGAAAGAAGAGAUGAUGUGCCUCAAGCUUAAUAGAAUGUUUCUCCUUCAAACGAUCCGGUUCCUAUGAGAACAAGCUAGAAAAUGAGGCAAACACUUGAGUGCUUCACCUAACAAGGUGAGAUUUUUGUAACAACUCUUGCCAGCAAGGAUGCAUAUCCUCGCAAUUUUGAGGCACUCUCUAAUGUGAAUUCCUCUAAAUGGAAAGAACCCAUGGAGUCAGAAACAAAUUCCACAAAGGCCAAUAGCAUCUGGACACUUGUCAAUCCACCUGAAAAGGUAAAAAUCAUUAGAUGCAAGUGGAUCAUCAAAAGGAAAGAGGCACAAUGGGAAGGCUGAAACCUUCGAGGCUCAUCUGAUAGUGAAAGGUUAUACUCAAAUAAAUGUUGUGGAUUAUGUAGAAAUCUGUUCAUCCAUAGCCAUUAUGAAGUCCAUCCUUUUUGGCCAUAGCAGCUUACUAUGAUUGUGACAUCAGGCAAAUGGACGUCAAUAUUAUAUUUUUCUUAGCAAAAAUUUGUAGGAAGGUAUAUAUAUGGUUCAGUCAGAGGGAUUUAUCUCUUUAGGGAAAGAAAAUAUGAUGUGUAAGCUGGUCAGAUCGAUUUAUGGCCUCAAAACAAACCUCCAAUAGCUGGUCUUAAUCAAUCGAUCAAGAAAUACAGGUUUGAACAAAACCUAGAGGUGUCCUGAGUCUACAGCAAGGUUAAGAGACCUAUGUGGAUGACAUUCUCCUCAUGAGGAACUAUAGAUCCAGUACAUAUGCAAUACAGCUGUGGUUGUCUCAUCAAUUCUCCAUGAAAGACCUAGGACGGACUAGCUAUCUGGAAGUUGCUAUGGGAUAGGCUGAACAAGUGAUUGGGCUCAACCAAGCCUCUUACAUAGAAAAAUUCUGGUCAGAUUAAGCAUGGAUCUAGCUAGGCCAUGGUCUUACCCUUUAAGUACAACAUUCAUCUUUCAGAUGAUAUGAGGCCCAAGACAAAGGAAGAGAUCCAGAUGAUGGCUAGCACUCCUUAUAGGCUUCAAUAGUAGGAGGUCGAAUUCAUGUCAUCUUGUGUAUUAGGCCACACAUAUACUACAUCAUUGGACUAAUAUCCAGAUACCAAAGCAACCUAAGGAAAAAAUACUAGGAAGCAGUCUAGCAUACUAUGAAGUACUAAGGAUUAUGUGGUUGUGUAAUAUGAUGGCAACUUGGAGAUGGUGAUAUAUACAGAUGCCGACUUCUAGUCAGACCAACACAAUCAUGCCUCCACUUUAGGGGGACACAUUUACCAUCAAAAAUGAAACUAUGUAGGCAUAGCAUGAAGCAAAAAAUGCAUCGCAAUCUAUGACUGAGGCGCAGAGUAUUGCUACAUCAAAUGUAGAAAAGAAGCUGUAUGGCUAAGAAAAUUCAUACUUGAGCUAAAAGUCAGCCUUCCACACAAUGACCCAUUUCCUUACAUUGUGACAACAAAGAGGCCCUAGCUUAGAGCAUGAAGCUGAGAUCGCAUCAUACGAUGAAGCAUGUUGAAUACAAGUACCACAUAAUUAAGGAUACAAUACAUGCAAGAACAAGAAGAUGCAGGUUUUAUCCAUUACUUCAGCUAGAAAUGUGGCUGAUCCACUAACCAAGCCCCUUACUAGAAGGCCUUCACUCAUGUAGAUAUGAUGAAAUAUAUUCUCAAAUGGCUCCAAGUGCAAGUGAGAAAUUAUUAGAAUAGUAUAAGCCAUAAUAGCCAUUUGCAUGUUGUUGCCGCUGAAAUCUGAAUCGCGGUCGGCUGGAGUUGGAGUGGUGGCACGUCCUCCCGGCAGAAAAC
RNAcentral lists this long non-coding RNA (7405 nucleotides) under Elaeis guineensis (African oil palm). RNAcentral describes it as "long non-coding RNA (EGUI_LNC039543)". The record is from RNAcentral. Lineage: Eukaryota; Viridiplantae; Streptophyta; Magnoliopsida; Arecales; Arecaceae.